Molecule: ribosomal RNA, 702 nt
Filed under: Triticum aestivum (bread wheat)
Lineage: Eukaryota; Viridiplantae; Streptophyta; Magnoliopsida; Poales; Poaceae
Description: partial small subunit ribosomal RNA
Source: RNAcentral
AUGCACAUGGUGGUGCCUUACACCAGCAAUGAAGGAGUUUUAAUAUCCAAGCAUAUCUGUUGUUGCAGGCCCGAUUUCAUUGAAAUAGAUGGCUUCCAUACAUCUCUGCAGAACUUUCACGGGUCUCUAAAGCCAAUAGCUGAGAUCGACAACGAGGUCAUGACCUUAUACCUGAGGACUUUCAACUAUGAUCAGUCGGUAAAGAAGAAGAAACCCAAGAUGUUUGCAUUCUUAGUGUUGAUGAGUACAAAACUCAGUGCUGAGCCCGAUGUGUUUGAUCCGAAGGUGUGCGAAAGAGAAUUUAGGAGUGCUUGCUCAGAUUAUCAUAUUUCAAAAUCUGACUUACUAUUCUUCACGGUUGUUCACAAAAGGCACUGGGCAGUAGUAGUUGUUAACACUGCCCAAAAGGAGUUCAAUAUUUUUGACUCGACCAAGAACUCAAAAGACCUAUUCGAGAUGGACAAGAUUACUAAGAAUCUGAUCGCCAAUAUCAAGAGUGUUGCAAUGAGGGAGCCCCUUUUCAAGCAUGAUCUCGAGUCUUUCACAGUGUUCUCCCCAGCUAAUUACCCGCGACAAACAACUUACUAUAACUGUGGCUACUACAGUAUUUUAUACUGGAGAAUUGGAAUGGCCUUAUUAUGUUGUCAUUCAAUGAGGAAUACAUUCCAAAUCUUCGAAUACGCAUUUCAGCGGAUCUGCUGA